This 482-nucleotide ribosomal RNA is filed under the name uncultured bacterium. RNAcentral's name for it is "partial 16S ribosomal RNA". It matches the Rfam family "Bacterial small subunit ribosomal RNA", at positions 30 to 507 of the family's 1533-position model. The record is from RNAcentral.
AUUGAACGCUGGCGGCAUGCCUUACGCAUGCAAGUCGAACGGUAACAGGUCUUCGGAUGCUGACGAGUGGCGAACGGGUGAGUAAUACAUCGGAACGUGCCCGAUCGUGGGGGAUAACGAAGCGAAAGCUUUGCUAAUACCGCAUAAGAUCUACGGAUGAAAGCAGGGGACCGCAAGGCCUUGCGCGAACGGAGCGGCCGAUGGCAGAUUAGGUAGUUGGUGGGAUAAAAGCUUACCAAGCCGACGAUCUGUAGCUGGUCUGAGAGGACGACCAGCCACACUGGGACUGAGACACGGCCCAGACUCCUACGGGAGGCAGCAGUGGGGAAUUUUGGACAAUGGGCGAAAGCCUGAUCCAGCCAUGCCGCGUGCAGGAUGAAGGCCUUCGGGUUGUAAACUGCUUUUGUACGGAACGAAAAGACUCUGGUUAAUACCUGGGGUCCAUGACGGUACCGUAAGAAUAAGCACCGGCUAACUACGUG